RNAcentral lists this ribosomal RNA (268 nucleotides) under uncultured Oscillospiraceae bacterium. RNAcentral describes it as "partial 16S ribosomal RNA". It matches the Rfam family "Bacterial small subunit ribosomal RNA", at positions 71 to 339 of the family's 1533-position model. The record is from RNAcentral. Lineage: Bacteria; Bacillati; Bacillota; Clostridia; Eubacteriales; Oscillospiraceae.
UUAGAGAGCUUGCUUUUUAAGCUUAGUGGCGAACGGGUGAGUAACGCGUGAGUAACCUGCCCUAGAUGGGGGACAACAGUUGGAAACGACUGCUAAUACCGCAUGACACAUAGGUGUCGCAUGGCACUUAUGUCAAAGAUUUAUCGCUGAAAGAUGGCCUCGCGUCUGAUUAGCUAGUUGGUGAGGUAACGGCCCACCAAGGCGACGAUCAGUAGCCGGACUGAGAGGUUGAACGGCCACAUUGGGACUGAGAUACGGCCCAGACUCC